UACGUAGGGGGCAAGCGUUAUCCGGAUUUACUGGGUGUAAAGGGAGCGUAGGUGGCAUGGCAAGCCAGAAGUGAAAACCCGGGGCUUAACCCCGCGGAUUGCUUUUGGAACUGUCAGGCUGGAGUGCAGGAGGGGCAGGCGGAAUUCCUGGUGUAGCGGUGAAAUGCGUAGAUAUCAGGAGGAGCACCGGCGGCGAAGGCGGCUUACUGGACGGCAACUGACGUUGAGGCCCGAAAGCGUGGGGAGCGAACAGG
Molecule: ribosomal RNA, 254 nt
Filed under: uncultured Eubacteriales bacterium
Lineage: Bacteria; Bacillati; Bacillota; Clostridia; Eubacteriales
Description: uncultured Clostridiales bacterium partial 16S ribosomal RNA
Rfam family: Bacterial small subunit ribosomal RNA
Source: RNAcentral